AUACGGAGGGGGUUAGCGUUGUUCGGAAUUACUGGGCGUAAAGCGCACGUAGGCGGACUGGAAAGUUGGGGGUGAAAUCCCGGGGCUCAACCCCGGAACUGCCUCCAAAACUUCCAAUCUAGAGAUCGAGAGAGGUAAGUGGAAUUCCUAGUGUAGAGGUGAAAUUCGUAGAUAUUAGGAGGAACACCAGUGGCGAAGGCGGCUUACUGGCUCGAUACUGACGCUGAGGUGCGAAAGCGUGGGGAGCAAACAGGAUUAGAAACCCUUGUAGUCC
RNAcentral lists this ribosomal RNA (274 nucleotides) under uncultured bacterium. Its description in RNAcentral is "partial 16S ribosomal RNA". It matches the Rfam family "Bacterial small subunit ribosomal RNA", at positions 523 to 796 of the family's 1533-position model. The record is from RNAcentral.